GAUGAACGCUGGCGGCGUGCCUAAUACAUGCAAGUCGAGCGAACGGACGAGAAGCUUGCUUCUCUGAUGUUAGCGGCGGACGGGUGAGUAACACGUGGAUAACCUACCUAUAAGACUGGGAUAACUUCGGGAAACCGUAGCUAAUACCGGAUAAUAUUUUGAACCGCAUGGUUCAAAAGUGAAAGACGGUCUUGCUGUCACUUAUAGAUGGAUCCGCGCUGCAUUAGCUAGUUGGUAAGGUAACGGCUUACCAAGGCAACGAUGCAUAGCCGACCUGAGAGGGUGGUCGGCCACACUGGAACUGAGACACGGUCCAGACUCCGACGGGGGGCAGCAGUAGGGAAUCUUCCGGAAUGGGCGAAAGCCUGACGGAGGAACGCCGCGUGAGUGAUGAAGGUCUUCGGAUCGGAAAACUCUGUUAUUAGGGAAGAACAUAUGUGUAAGUAACUGUGCACAUCUUGACGGUACCUAAUCAGAAAGCUACGGCUAACUACGUG
This 497-nucleotide ribosomal RNA is filed under the name uncultured bacterium. RNAcentral's name for it is "partial 16S ribosomal RNA". It matches the Rfam family "Bacterial small subunit ribosomal RNA", at positions 28 to 507 of the family's 1533-position model. The record is from RNAcentral.